RNAcentral lists this ribosomal RNA (253 nucleotides) under uncultured bacterium. RNAcentral's name for it is "partial 16S ribosomal RNA". It matches the Rfam family "Bacterial small subunit ribosomal RNA", at positions 524 to 776 of the family's 1533-position model. The record is from RNAcentral.
UACAGAGGGUGCGAGCGUUAAUCGGAAUUACUGGGCGUAAAGCGCGCGUAGGCGGCUUUUCAAGUCGAUUGUGAAAUCCCCGGGCUUAACCUGGGAACUGCAGUCGAGACUGUCUAGCUAGAGUAUGGGAGAGGGAAGUGGAAUUUCAGGUGUAGCGGUGAAAUGCGUAGAUAUCUGAAGGAACAUCAGUGGCGAAAGCGACUACCUGGCCUGUUCUUGACGCUGAGGCGCGAAAGCUAGGGGAGCAAACGGG